This is a long non-coding RNA of Papilio xuthus (Asian swallowtail), 772 nucleotides long. RefSeq lists it as uncharacterized. Lineage: Eukaryota; Metazoa; Arthropoda; Insecta; Lepidoptera; Papilionidae. The record is from RefSeq and is a predicted model, not a curated record. The transcript is spliced from 3 exons.
UUACAACGGUCAUUGUCAGUUGACUGAAUGUUGUGAUGUGAUAGUAUUUUUCUUUGUCAUUUAUCAUAUUCAUUGCAUAAUUGAACACUAAAAUGUUAAGAAUACCAAUACGAAUGCUACGUUUUCAAUCAAUCGGUGCCAUAAACUGUUUGCAUUCUAAAGGUUUUAAAAAUUUUGGUCAUAAAAAACAACCUGUGCCCACCGUAACCUUAAUAUGGCAUGGGUACUUAACAUUUAUGUUUAUCGGCCUUUGCGUUAAUUGGAAAAGGGUUGGGAGUUUUAUAUUUGGCGAAGAUGUGGAACAGCCAACAUCAACCGAAUAAAAUACGCAUCGACUAUAAUGUAAAGUGGUAGAAGAUUAUACAGAUGACCUUAGAAGCUACAAAAACGAUUUCAAUUGUUUCGACAUUAAUGGUCGCAGUCAGAUUUACCUGAUGAUGAUGAUGUAAAUAAGCAGUUAAGAAUUACGUACACAAUAAUGAAAUUAUUUUCUACAUAAUUCUUCAAUAAAUUCUAUCUAUAAAAGAUAUAUGUUUUCAUCAUGACUCUACCACCAGGUAUACUAUUGUUUUGAGAAAGCCAUGUAGUGUAGGAAUCACAAACCUUAAUUAAUUAAAACAUGAUUAUAAUUUCCUUAGCAAAAGGAUUGGUAUAUGGCAAAAUAUAUAUUAGCAUAAGAGGUUAGAAGAGUGUAGGCACACAUAUUAUAUAUUUAGGCUAGCAGAAACCCUAAUUUUUUAAAUAUUAAAAAUAAACCAAGGUUUUAAUAAGG